GCCUGAGAAACGGCUACCACAUCCAAGGAAGGCAGCAGGCACGCAAAUUACCCAAUCCCAGCUCUGGGAGGUAGUGACGAAAAAUAACAAUGCGGGACUCUUCCGAGUCUGCGUAAUUGGAAUGAGUACACUUUAAAUCCUUUAACCACAACCAAUUGGAGGGCAAGUCUGGUGCCAGCAGCCGCGGUAAUUCCAGCUCCAAUAGCGUAUAUUAAAGUUGUUGCGGUUAAAAAGCUCGUAGUUCGAGUUCAGUUCCGGACUGGCUGGGGAGGUCACCGCCCGGUGCUUCCCCGUCAGGCUCCGAACAGCUUUUAUAAACUAAAAGCCAAGUCGGUUUCGCCGGGGUGCUCUUCACCGAGUGUCCCGCGCGGCCGGCCAGUUUACCUUGAAUAAAUGAGAGUGCUCAAAGCAGGCUACUCUUAAAAAUAAAGCCCGAAUGUUACCUGCAUGGAAUGAUGGAAGAUGAAUCUCGGUUCCAUUUUAUUGGCUCUGGGAAUCCGAGUUAAUGAUAAACAGGGACGGUCGGGGGCAUCCGUACUACGACGCGAGAGGUGAAAUUCAGUGACCGUCGUAGGACGAACAACAGCGAAAGCAUUUGCCAUGAAUGUCUUCGUUGAUCAAGAACGAAAGUUAGAGGAUCGAAGGCGAUCAGAUACCGCCCUAGUUCUAACCCUAAACGAUGCUGACUAGCAAUCCGCCGUCGUUAUUCCCAUGACGUGGCGGGACGCCCCCGGGAAACCAUAAGUCUUUGAGUUCCGGGGGUAGUAUGGUUGCAAAACUGAAACUUAAAGGAAUUGACGGAAGGGCACCACCAGGAGUGGAGCCUGCGGCUUAAUUUGACUCAACACGGGAAACCUCACCAGGCCCGGACACCAGAAGGAUUGACAGAUUAAGAGCUCUUUCUCGAUUUGGUGGGUGGUGGUGCAUGGCCGUUCUUAGUUGGUGGAGUGAUUUGUCUGGUUAAUUCCGGUAACGAACGAGACUCUGGCCUACUAAAUAGUCGACGGGCGUUUUUGUGCAUGGGCCCCGUUCGAUUAUGUCUUCUUAGAGGGAUGAGCAGCGAGUAUAGCUGCAGGAGAUUGAGCAAUAACAGGUCUGUGAUGCCCUUAGAUGUCCUGGGCCGCACGCGCGCUACACUGAAUGGGUUAGCGGGUUCUCCUUCUCCGAGAGGAGCGGGAAAUCGCGUGAAAACCAUUCGUGAUAGGGAUUGGGGCUUGCAAUUGUUUCCCAUGAACGAGGAAUUCCCAGUAAGCGCAAGUCAUCAGCUUGCGUUGAUUAAGUCCCUGCCCUUUGUACACACCGCCCGUCGCUACUACCGAUUGAAUGAUUUAGUGAGGCCUUCGGACUGGCGGUCUUGGACUGGGUUCCAUUUGCUAUCUAACUCCAGCGAUGGGGGGCAGUGGACUCGCCAUGACGAGACGGAAAGAUGUCCAAACUUGAUCAUUUAGAGGAAGUAAAAGUCGUAACAAGGUUUCC
This 1476-nucleotide ribosomal RNA is filed under the name Pasiphaea sivado. Its description in RNAcentral is "SSU rRNA". It matches the Rfam family "Eukaryotic small subunit ribosomal RNA", at positions 394 to 1804 of the family's 1831-position model. The record is from RNAcentral. Lineage: Eukaryota; Metazoa; Arthropoda; Malacostraca; Decapoda; Pasiphaeidae.